GACGAACGCUGGCGGCGUGCUUAACACAUGCAAGUCGUACGGUAAGGCCCUUUCGGGGGCGCGCGCGUGGCGAACGGGCGAGUAAGAAGUGAGUAAGUUGCCCACCCCUUUGGGAUAACGAUCGGAAACUGGUGGGAGUUCUUGAUAUGUACUACUGCCGCAUGGAGGGGGUUGGUUAGAUCCGGCGGUUGUGGAUGGACUCGCGGCCUAUCAGCUUGUUGGUGGGGUAGUGGCUUACCAAGGCGGGGACGGGUAGCCGGCCUGAGAGGGUGACCGGCCACAUUGGGACUGAGAUACGGCCCAGACUCCUACGGGAGGCAGCAGUGGGGAAUAUUGCACAAUGGGCGCAAGCCUGAUGCAGCAACGCCGCGUGCGGGAUGACGGCCUUCGGGUUGUAAACCGCUUUCAGCAGGGACGAAGCGUUAUGGGACGGAACCUGCAGAAGAAGCACCGGCAAACUCCGU
RNAcentral lists this ribosomal RNA (464 nucleotides) under uncultured bacterium. Its description in RNAcentral is "partial 16S ribosomal RNA". It matches the Rfam family "Bacterial small subunit ribosomal RNA", at positions 28 to 506 of the family's 1533-position model. The record is from RNAcentral.